This 341-nucleotide unclassified non-coding RNA is filed under the name uncultured fungus. RNAcentral's name for it is "partial contains small subunit ribosomal RNA, internal transcribed spacer 1, and 5.8S ribosomal RNA". The stretch from base 1 to 73 matches the Rfam family "Eukaryotic small subunit ribosomal RNA", at positions 1759 to 1831 of the family's 1831-position model. Lineage: Eukaryota; Fungi. The record is from RNAcentral.
GCAAACUUGGUCAUUUAGAGGAAGUAAAAGUCGUAACAAGGUUUCCGUAGGUGAACCUGCGGAAGGAUCAUUACCGAGAUAGGGUGCCUGGUCCUCCCAGCGCCCGACCUCCCAACCCUUUGUCUACUUAACCACAACGUUGCUUCGGCAGGCCCGCAGAACCCUCCCCCCCGCGGGGAAGGGGGACGCCGCCGGGGGUCUCGCGACCCCGGGCCCGCGCCUGCCGACGGCCCCCCUCACAAAACUCUUGUUAAACCGUGUCGUCUGAGUACCAAACACAAAUUAAAACCAAAACUUUCAACAACGGAUCUCUUGGUUCUGGCAUCGAUGAAGAACGCAGC